UACGGAGGGAGCUAGCGUUGUUCGGAAUUACUGGGCGUAAAGCGCACGUAGGCGGCUUUGUAAGUUAGAGGUGAAAGCCCGGGGCUCAACUCCGGAACUGCCUUUGAUACUGAGGGUCUUGAGUUCGGGAGAGGUGAGUGGAACUGCGAGUGUAGAGGUGAAAUUCGUAGAUAUUCGCAAGAACACCAGUGGCGAAGGCGGCUCACUGGCCCGAUACUGACGCUGAGGUGCGAAAGCGUGGGGAGCAAACAGG
RNAcentral lists this ribosomal RNA (253 nucleotides) under uncultured bacterium. RNAcentral describes it as "partial 16S ribosomal RNA". It matches the Rfam family "Bacterial small subunit ribosomal RNA", at positions 524 to 776 of the family's 1533-position model. The record is from RNAcentral.